RNAcentral lists this RNase P RNA (446 nucleotides) under Chitinophagales bacterium. RNAcentral's name for it is "RNase P RNA component class A". It matches the Rfam family "Bacterial RNase P class A". From Rfam's summary of the family: Ribonuclease P (RNase P) is a ubiquitous endoribonuclease, found in archaea, bacteria and eukarya as well as chloroplasts and mitochondria. Its best characterised activity is the generation of mature 5'-ends of tRNAs by cleaving the 5'-leader elements of precursor-tRNAs. Lineage: Bacteria; Pseudomonadati; Bacteroidota; Chitinophagia; Chitinophagales. The record is from RNAcentral.
GCUGCAGGUUCGGCAUUCGUCCCGAGAAUUCGGGGAGGAAAGUCCGGACAGCAACAGAGCACCGCACCACCUAACAGAUGGUUCCGCUGAGAGGCGGAAAGAAAGUGCCACAGAAAAUAGUAGCCCUGCCAAAAUCGGGGUGAUAGUGAAAAUGUGAGGUAAGAGCUCACAACUUACUGCAGCAAUGCAGCAAGUGGGUAAACCUUGCGGGCUGUAAGAUCAAAUAUACCAUGAACGGACUUCGAAAGAAGUUUAACAAAGUUGCUCAUUUUGUUUUGCCGAAAGGCAGAAGCAUGGGUGGGUAGAUCGCUUGAUUCGGGUUGGCAACAACCAGAACAGAUAAAUGAAUGCCUGAAUCUUAUGAGGUAAUGUGAUAGAAGAGAAAUCUUCCUUCGCUGAAGCUUCGGCAGAUGAAACAGAAUCCGGCUUAUGAACCUGCAGCAUUU